RNAcentral lists this long non-coding RNA (1219 nucleotides) under Cyanistes caeruleus (blue tit). RNAcentral's name for it is "lncRNA (ENSCCEG00000010859.1)". Lineage: Eukaryota; Metazoa; Chordata; Aves; Passeriformes; Paridae. The record is from RNAcentral.
GGAACUCUUCUGAUGAAUGCCUGAAGUAGCUGGUAUCCCAUGAGAAGAUCCCUCUGCAGAUCUACAGGCAAGACCCAGCUGAUGUAGUUCCAUGGUGCUGCACAGACCUGGGACCAGCUGCCCUCAGCCUCCAGCACCAGGUAUCUAACACAUCUAACCUAUCUAACCUAUCUAACAUACCUAACAUAUGUAACAUAUCCCCCAGAUCCCAGCCUGGCUGAGCACCAACCAACAGUCAGGGCAGACAUUCCAUGAGCAGCUCUCAAUUAAUUAAUUAAUUAAUUAAUUAAAUUUAAAUGGUGUGAAGGGUAUGUGUGUGUGUGUGUGUGUUUAUGAUUGUCUUCAGUCAAAAAGUUUCCUCUGUGUUUACCCCUCCAAACAUUCUUCCACCUUUUUUACUAUUUCCUUUACAGGAAUGGGAUUUUGUGUAGGUUUCCAGGCCUACCUGGGCUGGGGUGGAAACUCAUCAUGGGGGGAAGAGGAGCAGGCUAACUUUACAGGUUGAACACCCUAUUUGCUUGGAAACUUCUCUGCAAUCAGUAGCACCAGGAAGAGGAAUUGCAAACAGCACCAUUAACUGGAGAUUUGAAAGUUGCAGAUACCAAUCAUGGUGCUUGAAAACUGCAGGGAAGUUUACAUGAGAGAAGCAAACAGCAGUGCUUUGUGGGCAAUGCUUUGAUUGAACAGGCACAGUAAGACAGUUUCUCAUCUGUGUUAAUGGAGAAGCAUUCUUUGUUUCUAUUCAGUCUCACUGAUUCCCUGCUCACAAUGUCCUAUUUAAGCCCCAUUAAUUCACUGUGGAGUCUACAGGAAUAAUUUGUGUUCAUCCUUUCUGGAAGGUCUUGCAGCAUCACUGUAGUGAAAGGAAAAAUCAAGAGAGCAUCAAGCUGAGAAGGGCUUGGGUAGGAAAAAUCAGCAGAGUGAAGAUGGGAAAAUGGGGAGCAGAGCUUUGGGUCUGCUGGAGAAAUCCUGUUCACCCUUUGCAAAUCUCUCGAUGGCAAUUAUCUGUUAUCAAUUAUAAACAGGACUCCAGGAAGGUCCCUCUGGGGGCUCCUCAAAGUCCAGGAGGACAGGGAAGAGUGCUGCACCUUCAGCUGGGGCUGGAUGUGUCCUUGUGCAUUUUGGCUCCAGGAGCUGCUGAAGAUGAGGAAUGCCUCAAGAACAAAGCUGCUUGCUGCUGCAUGGAGUUUUCUUUGGUUGGUGUGACCCAAAUCUCAAA